This 113-nucleotide ribosomal RNA is filed under the name Pteropus alecto (black flying fox). The record is from RNAcentral. Lineage: Eukaryota; Metazoa; Chordata; Mammalia; Chiroptera; Pteropodidae.
GUCUAUGGCCACGCCCCCUGAACAAGCCUGAUCCUGAUUCGGAAGCUAAGCGGGGUCAGGCUUGGUUAGUACUUGGAAGGGAGACCACCUAGGGAGACCAGGUGCUGUAGGUG